Molecule: ribosomal RNA, 198 nt
Filed under: Vibrio splendidus
Lineage: Bacteria; Pseudomonadati; Pseudomonadota; Gammaproteobacteria; Vibrionales; Vibrionaceae
Description: partial 23S ribosomal RNA
Rfam family: Bacterial large subunit ribosomal RNA
Source: RNAcentral
GUUGUAUGGUUAAGUGACUAAGCGUACACGGUGGAUGCCUUGGCAGUCAGAGGCGAUGAAAGGCGUAAUAACUUGCGAUAAGCCCAGAUUAGGUAGUAAUAACCUUUUGAGUCUGGGAUUCCUGAAUGGGGAAACCCACUUGCAUAAGCAAGUAUCCUGUUGUGAAUACAUAGCAACAGGAGGCAAACCGGGGGAACU